Molecule: long non-coding RNA, 2664 nt
Organism: Cornus florida
Lineage: Eukaryota; Viridiplantae; Streptophyta; Magnoliopsida; Cornales; Cornaceae
Exons: 2
Source: RefSeq, a predicted model, not a curated record
CGCAAUUUAACCUAAAAAGAAAUUUAUAAAAAAGUUUCUACCCAUUAAAAAAGAUUAACAUAUAAAUUAACAAUUAAUUUAUUUUAAGAGACCCGUAAAAUAAGGAAACAAAAUUUUAUCAUAUAAAUAUACAUUUGUAAAAUUCAGGUUUAUCCCUUCCACAUCAACCUAAAUUAUCUUUGGAAAAAAAAGAAAAAAAAAAUCCUUAAAUUUACUUUGGAAAAAAUGCUAGAAAACCUCCUCUCUCUCUUUUUCGGAAUUUAAAAUAUCAAAAUUGGAAUUAACGAAAACCCUGUCACAAAAACAAAGGCCCAAGCCCUUUUCAACAGCCGAACAGCAAACAAGGCUAAAAGCCCAAUAUUUGGCCCAGAAAACAAUUAUAGUCUAGUUUCCUCAACACUUUUGUUGUAACAUAUCCGGUGAAGUGAUGAGGGGCAAAGCAGAGCAUUUCCCCUGGCAAGAUGCAAAGCGUCACUCCGAUCCUGAGUCCGGUGGUUCCGGUGGAGGCCUAAUGAAGGAUGCGGGAAGAUCCCAAGAGAGGGCCAAGCAUCUUGCUGAAGCAGAGUCCUUUACGGUCAUGGAAGAUAAUCGUUGACGUACGAUGUCAAUUGUUUGUUUCAGAAUUGCCGAUUGGGAACACCUUUUGAGUUUGAAAGCUCGGUUAUUGCGCUCAGCCCAAAUUCGGUUGAUAGUGGUGGAGAGAACCAACCUUUCGUGACCACUGGUUCGAUGUCCAAGCUGUCAGCUAGCACCAAUCCAUUGGAGAAACAUGAAAUCGGCAGAUGUCUUGAAGAUGACUCCACAAUGGUCGUACAAAAAGGCAAUCAAAAAACAGGUGAGUAUGAGUUUCAUCUUGUGGGUGAAGGAAUUUGGGGGUUGGUCAGAGAUAAAUCAGGUAAUUGCUCCACAAUUUCAGCACCAAUCCUCAUUAACUACUUGGUGGCAAUAUCUAAUUAGAUUCUGGUCUACCACCGUAAGUUUGACUACCUAUAUAACUUGUGUCCAAAGAAAUUGUAUAAUGUGAUAAGAAAUUAUAGGAAAGCCAUGUCUCCCAUUUGUACAAGGCGGCACUAAUCCUCACUUAGCUUUCCUUUUGUAUUCGGACCAAGUAAUAUAUAUCUCUAUAUCUAUAAAUAGUACCAUCCAUCUUCUCAUUCUACUCUCUUAGAUUUUUCUGCUCAGCACACUACUUCUCAUUCUACUCUCUUAGAUUUUUCCGUUCAGUGGCUUGCAUAGAGGAAAAGAAUGGAAAGCUACCAAUUCUCUUAUGUUAUAAUUAUAUAUUAAUUUGUAUAUGAGUCCAUAUAUUAACUUUGGGGGUGGACUUAUUUAAAAUUCUGAUACAGCAGUGGCCUAAUGCUAAUGUAGCUUGUGGAUUUAUAUAUAUCUGUUUUAUAUAUUUUGUUGAGUAGUGUUUAAUGGUUGCAGAUUAUGCUAUGAUAGGAGUUGUCAUUAUUUUAAUUUUUCUUUUUUCUGAAUAAAUUUCUUUCUUCCUUUUGUAGUUACAUACUUUUUGUGUGUUUGUUUCUUGUAAACGUACUUAUCUCUGUUUCUUGUGCAUAUAUAUUAUUUUUCUGAUGGGAUGGAUAUCUUGAUAUGUGAUUGAAAGCAGGCAACAAUAUUGGAUGUCAUCUAUAGAUGAUCAAAUGGUGCUCACAAGUACUCAUGAGCAACACUCACCUCAUCCUGUGCAAGCAAUAAGAAGAGAAAACCACCCCAGCAUGCAUCAUCAUAACAUUGACACCAGAGGAAGAGGUGGUCGUCCUUCUCUGGCUCGGGUUAAUACCAGGAAUUCGAGUAACAGGCUCAUACCCAGAGUCAUCUUUUCGGAAAUUAUCUACUAGAAGAUGAUGUGCUCUUGCUGGAUGAUUCUUCAGAUUACUCCCUCUACAUUGGCAGCUCGCUUCACAUUCCGGCAACCCCCAAUUCAGAUAACUUCACUGAUGAUAUGUCUUACGAGGUUUCUACAUUACUAGGUUCAACUUGAAUGUGUUCUUGAAGUAGUAUGUAUUCAUGUUAAACAAAUCAUUUCCUAUAUAUAUGCACAGGGGUUAAAUUGAAGACUAGUGAUUAUUUAAAAAUCUUAUUGGACUGUCAUUAUAGAUAUAUAAUCAUACACGUAUAACUAAAAGGACAACUUUGCAGGACGUAUUAGAGCUUCAAGAACUAAUGGGCCGGGUUAGCAUUGGGUUGUCAAAGGAAACCAUUGCAAAACAGCUUAACACGAGAACCCAUGUUUCAUCUGCGAAUCAGAACGAAGAACCUGAAAUCUGUGUUAUAUGCCAAGUAUAUAGAACUAUAUAUAUAUAUAUAAUUCUUCACAUUUGUGUUUGGCUUUAAUUUAAGGCAUACAUCUUUGUCUGUUGAUGAUGUAAUAACUAUAAUUUUGCAGGCGGAGUAGGAAAAGAAUGAGACAAUUGGAAGACUUAGAUGCGGACAUGAAUAUCAUGCAGACUGCAUAAAGUCGUGGCCCCUUGAAAAAAAUGUUUGCCCUAUCUGCAAAGCUACACCUUUUUGAUCAUAUAUAUAGUAGAGCUAGAAAGUUCCUAGUCACUUUUAGAGAGAGGCCAAGGAUGAUGUAUAGACUGUUUAUUUCAUUUGUUUUUUUUAUGUCUAUUGUGGACAAUGUAUUGACGUGUUUAUACAAUUCAGUUGUUUCAUUUA